CUCCCCUGUCCACUCCGCUUCUAUAGCUGUUGCCGAGAGACAAAGUAGAAGUCAGCCAGGCGUUCAGAGAGUCAGAGAAGAGGCCUUUAAAACAACGACAGUGCCAUAACUCACAGUGUGUCCACGGGACGAGGGGAAGGGGGGGAGUGUCGGAGGAGGGAGAAGAGAGCGUGAUGAGAGUUGGGGUUGGAGAUAGGGAAGAGUAAUUGAAAGGAAGGCAAAAUGUUCGACUCGUGCGAGGACACUGAGGAUGAGGGAAGAGUCGCGUAGCAAUGACACGGAGGAAGAGGAGAAUGGGCACGUUUGAGGCAGUGAUGGGUGGGCACUGAGUUCAACAGUGCUCCUGUGGUGAUCAGACAGAGAGUAGUUUUUUUGUUUUGUUUUUCUUCAGGAGGAUAUGAUGUGCUCUACAAGAUGACAGGUACUCUCACAUCUCAUAGGCAGAGGCUGUGGGUUCUUUGUGUGGUUCUGUUGGCUGCAGCUGGAGAGGACACCCCUUGCCCAAAAGGUGGUCGGAUCCACCUGGGCACCUGGCAAUGCUAUUGGCUCUCUGAGACGACAUCUUCGUGGCCGGAGGCGCAGGAUUCCUGCAGAGAGAUUCCGGGAGGAGAUUUAGCUUCUGCUGAAAGCCUGGAGCUGCAAAAGUUCAUCCACUACUCCUUUCCUGUGUAAGCGUUACAAGGAAUGGUCUUUGAAAAAGUCUUCUUUCGUGUUUACGUUCAUUAAUAUGCCCUCCUUCCUUUGGUUCAGAAAAAGCACUACAUGGGUUUGGCUGAAGGGAUCGAGCGGAGAUGGAUCUGACAAGGUUGGGUUUAUGGAGCCAGUAAGUCCUGCAUGGUGGGUUGGAGGCAGUGAAAGUCAGGGGGUGUGUACCCAGAAGGCCUUGGGGACACUUGGACAGUGGAGGAAGUCUCACUGUGCUGGACAAUACCACUUCAUCUGUGAAAAAGAAGUAACUGAGUCUUUACCAUCUGUGGAUAGUUACCUGACUGGAUCGGUUCUCAUGACCGGCAUUUACGCUCAGACCCAGAUACAGCCCUUGCCCAAUGUCCCGGACAUCGGACAACUCACAGUGGAGGUCAGUCAGUCUGAAUCAUUUGUUCUCCGCCUAACAAGGGUUCACAAGACAAGAUAACAUCACAUUUUGGUUGAACUG
RNAcentral lists this long non-coding RNA (1156 nucleotides) under Sparus aurata (gilthead seabream). Its description in RNAcentral is "lncRNA (ENSSAUG00010024143.1)". The record is from RNAcentral. Lineage: Eukaryota; Metazoa; Chordata; Actinopteri; Spariformes; Sparidae.